RNAcentral lists this ribosomal RNA (425 nucleotides) under uncultured bacterium. RNAcentral describes it as "partial 16S ribosomal RNA". It matches the Rfam family "Bacterial small subunit ribosomal RNA", at positions 354 to 796 of the family's 1533-position model. The record is from RNAcentral.
GUGGGGAAUAUUGGGCAAUGGGCGAAAGCCUGACCCAGCAACGCCGCGUGAAGGAAGAAGGUUUUCGGAUCGUAAACUUCUAUCCUUGGUGAAGAUAAUGACGGUAGCCAAGAAGGAAGCCCCGGCUAACUACGUGCCAGCAGCCGCGGUAAUACGUAGGGGGCAAGCGUUGUCCGGAAUGAUUGGGCGUAAAGGGCGCGGAGGCGGCCCGGUAAGUCUGAAGUGAAAGUCCUGCUUUUAAGGUGGGAAUUGCUUUGGAUACUGUCGGGCUUGAGUGCAGGAGAGGUAAGCGGAAUUCCCGGUGUAGCGGUGAAAUGCGUAGAGAUCGGGAGGAACACCAGUGGCGAAGGCGGCUUACUGGACUGUAACUGACGCUGAGGCGCGAAAGUGUGGGGAGCAAACAGGAUUAGAUACCCCAGUAGUCC